AGUGAACGCUGGCGGUAGGCCUAACACAUGCAAGUCGAACGGCAGCACAGUAAGAGCUUGCUCUUACGGGUGGCGAGUGGCGGACGGGUGAGGAAUACAUCGGAAUCUACUUUUUCGUGGGGGAUAACGUAGGGAAACUUACGCUAAUACCGCAUACGACCUACGGGUGAAAGCAGGGGAUCUUCGGACCUUGCGCGAUUGAAUGAGCCGAUGUCGGAUUAGCUAGUUGGCGGGGUAAAGGCCCACCAAGGCGACGAUCCGUAGCUGGUCUGAGAGGAUGAUCGGCCACACUGGAACUGAGACACGGUCCAGACUCCUACGGGAGGCAGCAGUGUGGAAUAUUGGGCAAUGGGCGCAAGCCUUAUCCAGCCAUACCGCGUGGGUGAAGAAGGCCUUCGGGUUGUGAAGCCCUUUUGUUGGGAAAGAAAAGCAGCAGGUUAAUACCCCGCUGUUCUGACGGUACCCAAAGAAUAAGCACCGGCUAACUUCGUG
This 492-nucleotide ribosomal RNA is filed under the name uncultured bacterium. Its description in RNAcentral is "partial 16S ribosomal RNA". It matches the Rfam family "Bacterial small subunit ribosomal RNA", at positions 29 to 507 of the family's 1533-position model. The record is from RNAcentral.